This 403-nucleotide ribosomal RNA is filed under the name Sphaerospira sp. SQ1. Its description in RNAcentral is "partial 16S ribosomal RNA". It matches the Rfam family "Archaeal large subunit ribosomal RNA", at positions 1900 to 2656 of the family's 2987-position model. Lineage: Eukaryota; Metazoa; Mollusca; Gastropoda; Stylommatophora; Camaenidae. The record is from RNAcentral.
CAAAAACAUAGCCAUAAGUCAUUACUUAUGGUAUUUUCUGCUCAAUGAGAUAUUAAAUAGCCGCAGUACACUGACUGUGCAAAGGUAGCGUAAUAAUUUGUCUUCUAAUUAAAGUCUUGUAUGAAUGAAUAUAUGGGGGCCUACUAUACCAGUAACAUAAAAAUGAAGUUACUUAAUGAGUGCAAAUACUCAUAUAUAAAUAAUAGACGAGAAGACCCUAGAAAUUUAUGUAGAUAUUUUGUUGGGGCAACAGGGUAACAAUUAAUUUACUUGUGUAUAUGAAAUAAAUUGGAAAAAUUAAAUUACUCUAGGGAUAACAGCAUAAUCUAUGAAUGUUUGUGACCUCGAUGUUGGAUUAGGAAAUUGCAACUUAGAAGGUAACCAAUAAAGCUCUGUUCGAGCU